RNAcentral lists this ribosomal RNA (114 nucleotides) under uncultured bacterium. RNAcentral describes it as "partial 16S ribosomal RNA". It matches the Rfam family "Bacterial small subunit ribosomal RNA", at positions 1373 to 1482 of the family's 1533-position model. The record is from RNAcentral.
CCCGGGCCUUGUACACACCGCCCGUCACACCACGAAAGCGAGCAACACCCGAAGCCGGUGACCCAACCUCUUUGAGGAGGGAGCCGUCGAAGGUGGGGGCCCGUGAUUGGGGUG